This 445-nucleotide ribosomal RNA is filed under the name uncultured bacterium. RNAcentral's name for it is "bacterial SSU rRNA". It matches the Rfam family "Bacterial small subunit ribosomal RNA", at positions 331 to 793 of the family's 1533-position model. The record is from RNAcentral.
CCAGACUCCUACGGGAGGCAGCAGUGGGGAAUAUUGCACAAUGGGGGAAACCCUGAUGCAGCGACGCCGCGUGAGUGAAGAAGUAUUUCGGUAUGUAAAGCUCUAUCAGCAGGGAAGAAAAUGACGGUACCUGACUAAGAAGCCCCGGCUAACUACGUGCCAGCAGCCGCGGUAAUACGUAGGGGGCAAGCGUUAUCCGGAUUUACUGGGUGUAAAGGGAGCGUAGACGGCGGAACAAGUCAGAAGUGAAAACCCGGGGCUCAACCCUGGGAGUGCUUUUGAAACUGUUUGGCUGGAGUGCAGGAGAGGUAAGCCGAAUUCCUAGUGUAGCGGUGAAAUGCGUAGAUAUUAGGAGGAACACCAGUGGCGAAGGCGGCUUACUGGACUGUAACUGACGUUGAGGCUCGAAAGCGUGGGGAGCAAACAGGAUUAGAUACCCCGGUAA